Long non-coding RNA from Strigops habroptila (Kakapo), 1752 nucleotides. NCBI's taxonomy places the organism in Eukaryota, Metazoa, Chordata, Aves, Psittaciformes, Psittacidae. The record is from Ensembl.
UGUAAAGAAAAUGUUUUAUUUAAAGUGUUAAAUACCAUCACCAGAAUGAGUUUGAUUUACAUUAGUUGGUGUUCAUUACAGGCCUAAUCUGCCCCUUUUUUUUCCCCCCAAACUGUAAUUCCUUUUAACUUUUUAAAACGUACUAUGUACAAGACAGCAGUGAUCACUGGAAUAGUGCUAUUUACAUGACUAAACCAUAAGUAGAGUUGCAGACGUGAAAAUUAAAAAAAAAUACAUUAAUUUUUUUAAAAUAAAUACUGCAUAAUGACAAGUAUGUACAAACCUUCCAUGCGUCAUGUCCUUGAUUUUAAAAUUUGAAAUAAUUUAUAUAGGACUAUGCAUACAAGAAUGCAUGAGCACACCUCACAGUAUCAGGAAAAUGGUUAUGUAUUUUUGUUUAAUAUCCUAGGGGAUAUUGUAGACUGCAUGUUAGUAGUAGUUGCUGCUGGUAGACAGGUGUCUAAAUUAUUUCAAUAAAUAUAAUUUUACCAGUCUGUCCAUUAACAAUAAUCCAUUAUACAAACUCUGAAGACAAGACACAAUCUUGAUUUAUAUGAUAUUGCACAAAGUAAAAGGCAUUUUAAGUGAUACUGUUAUUACUUUUGCCCUUGUAUGAGGCAUGUACAAUUUCUUAAUGGGAAAAUUCACUAGAUUUUCAAAUAAAUCAGAAUAAUUCUGUGUGGCCUUAAAGGUAAAUGUAAUGUAUAUUUCAAAAAAUUAUUGCAAAGUUUCAACCUUAAAUAGGUAUUAAAGGCAUAUGAAGACGCAGAAAAAAAAGGAUAUUUUCUUAUUAAAUCUUAGCCAGUUACAUUCCGUUUAAAUAAUGUAAUUUAAUGAGAAGCUUGAACUUGCAGCACCACCCAAUGGUAGUUACUGUCUGCUACAAAAACCAGGUUUUUGAAGACCCGUUGACUGCAGUGAGGGUUCUGGUAAUAAUGUCAAACAUCUGUCAGAGUGGUACUGAUAAGCUUUCUUUAAGGCUAUUUUAUGAACCAAAGACUGAUAUUUUCCAGAUUGAUAUUAUCUAAUUAUGUCUUUUGCAACACAAACGUAGUUUACGAAAAUUGAACUUUACAGCAGAAGAACUGUACAAAUUAGUAACCUUCGUUGCUUUUGCAAUCUCAAAUGUAGCAAUUAAUUUGGUUUAGUGCAAAUAAAAGUGUUUAAAUUUAUUUCCUAAAGAUCAACCAGGUACUUCAUUUUUCAUCUUUCCAAAAACCUUCAAGAAAUGAUAGUUCAACCUUUGAAUGAAAGAUGCUGGUGCUAAAAACAAAUUUAUUGAAGACAUCUUACAAUGGCCACAUGAUUCCAGUAUUUUGCUGUAGAAUUCAAUCUGAAGGUCAGAAAAAAUGAAAAUAAGUUACCAUGCACUGUACAAUAAAUUGCAAAAAGUUCAAAUAUCUUCUUUAUCAAAUACAUGCUGAAUUACAUUAAUGUACUCCCAAGCCAUGUUGCAAAAUCCUUUUCAACAUGCUUGAAAAAAAAUAAGUUGUUAAACAAUAUUUUUCUCAAAUAAUUCAGAAAUGCAGAGCAAUCUGCAACCCUGAACCAAAUAUCGGGCAUAAGAGACUAGUAAGUCAAAAGGUAGGCAUUUUAGAAUAUGAUGAUCAUCCUGGGAGGUAGAGGGGAAAAAGAGCCAAAGGAAGAAGGGAGACUGGGAGGAGAGAUAGAGAAAGGAGGAGGUAAAAGAAGUAUACAAUUUGCACAUUAUGUUGAACUUUACAAGGCUUGUACCUUUUACAUUUAAAUAAA